This 66-nucleotide transfer RNA is filed under the name Trabala vishnou. Its description in RNAcentral is "tRNA-Cys". RNAcentral also lists the same sequence under 1 other name. The record is from RNAcentral. Lineage: Eukaryota; Metazoa; Arthropoda; Insecta; Lepidoptera; Lasiocampidae.
GGCCUUAUAGUCAGUUAUGAUUUAAAAUUGCAAAUUUUAAGGAAAAAUUAUUAAUUUUUAAGGCUU